This is an RNA transcript of Vollenhovia emeryi, 3573 nucleotides long. It is a transcript of the gene named E3 ubiquitin-protein ligase RNF115, with no coding region annotated. NCBI's taxonomy places the organism in Eukaryota, Metazoa, Arthropoda, Insecta, Hymenoptera, Formicidae. The record is from RefSeq and is a predicted model, not a curated record. The transcript is spliced from 9 exons.
ACUGCGGCAAGCGGCAAGUAGAGAGUUGGGGAGCUGACGGGCACACGUAAAACAUGGCGGAGGCCGUUGUGGACGGGAGUCCGAUGUCUCGGUUUUUUUGCCACAAAUGCAGCGUCGAGAUCGAGCAAGUGCUGCCGAAUUUCAGAUGUCCACGAUGCUCGAGCGGCUUCAUCGAAGAGCUGGAAAGCAGCAGCAACGAGGGCAGCUCGGGCAUAGACAACAACGAAGAUCUGGAAGGGGAUAUCGACAUCCUGGCAUAUAACCGUGACCGUGAUCGUGACAUAAUAGAUAUGAUUAUGGGUCUCUCCAAUUCAUACUCCAAUCAACAGUUGAAUACCAGCCAACAACCCGGAGGUGGCAAUAGAAACUAUGUGCUUACGAGCAGAAGAAGGUCUAAUUGGUCUCGUGCCCCUCAAGAUGGACGUCGCACCAGCAGUAGCAAUCGUAGAAGACAAGAGAGUCUACAGGUGCCUAUAGAGAAUUUCAUACAAGAUUUUCUCUUCAAUCUCUCGGGAGCGGCGAGUCUGAGUAACUCUGUGGGCCAAGAUGGACAGCCCUCUGUAUUCGAUAUUAGACUGUUCUUGGGAAAUCCUGGAGAUUAUGUUUGGGGUCGCGAUGGAUUAGACGCUAUUGUUACCCAAUUAUUGAAUCAAAUGGAUGGUACUGGACCACCACCUUUAUCACGCAACCAGAUUGACGAAAUACCUACUACUACUAUUACACAAAGUCAAGUUGAUUGUAAACUACAAUGUUCCGUUUGCUGGGAAGACUUCAAGCUAUCGGAACCUGUUAGACAGUUGCCAUGCCAGCAUGUCUAUCACGCGCCAUGCAUUGUACCCUGGUUGGAAUUACACGGAACCUGCCCUAUUUGUAGACAGAACUUGGGAGAUCAAAAUCAGGCUGAAGCGAACCAAGAUACUGGAACCAACAUAGCUGGAUCUACUUUGGCUGGGUCCAGUUUUGCUGCUUUAUUUAGGGCAGCAAAUGAAGCAAGCAACCGAACGGGACAGCCAAUUAGCCGGACAUCGUCCACUUCGUCAUCUACUUCAUCAGAGUAGUAGCUCCACUUCAAGUGAGAUUUGAGAGUGAUAUUUUUCUUUCAACUAUCCCCGUUUCAUGAUUUAGCCGAAUGUAUAUCUAUUUUUAACACAUUGAUACUACUUCUCUGGCACUCUUGCCUUUAGUAAGGCACAAAUCUCUUUACAGAUAAAACGUGUCAGCUACAAAAUUCGAAUCGCGAUCGCUUAAUCGAUUGAUAUUGUCUCAAGUGUAAAGUGCUGAGUUCAACGAAAUGUUUUGUUCUACGGUUCAGCAAAUUGUAUUACGUAGAUAUCGGUCGAAAUAACAAAAUCCGUAGAUUAAAUUGUUACAUCUAUCUCUGCCUGUGGCGCUAAUUUUAACAUUCAACAUUAGAAUGUUAUAUACAGAGACUAUAAUAGAUCUUACAGUCUUUAAUGCCAUUUGAUUUAAUAUUUAUAAAUACUGGAAUGGUUAUUGAAACAAGCCAGGCACUGGCGAAUUAUACACGCUAUUACAGUUCGGAAUAGAAAAGGGCUUUUACUUCAAUUAAAUUUAUUAUUUAAAAAAGAGAAAAACUGCAAAAGUAACCUACGUAGUCUUUAUAGACGUUAUUUAUACGUGGGUAGUUUUAUUUUGAGUAAAAUUAAUUUCAAGUAAACUUUUGGAACAAGUUAACAAAUUUUAUGUUAUUUAUAAAAUUAAACUAUAGUUUUUCGCCGAGGCUCAGUAAGAUCAAUGUAUGUAAACUUAGUAUAAAUAAACAAAAAUUCGCGAUCUGAAAACAAACUGUAAUAAAUUCAAUUGACGCAUGAUGCAAAAGAUAUCUGUAAUUUAUAAAGAAUUUCGCUUUCUGCAAAUAUGUGUAUACCUGAAAUUAGAACAUAUCACACGAGUAAAAGAUCUAGCGGUCAAAGAGCUAAUAGGACUCAUAUAAAGUAUGUUGGGCUUCAGUUCUCGUUUUUUUUUCUGAAAAUGCAAAAUUAUAAAAAUGGACUGUUGACAAUUACAUGAUUACUUUUUCAUUAUCGAUUGACUGUUGUAUGUAUCUAUUUAGGUAUUCUAUAUCUUGACGAUAGCCAUCUGAGUCUCGACGAAUAAAGUGUGAGUGUGAAACAUUCGCUUUGUUCCAUUUUCUUAGUGUGUAAAAACACAAACUGAUUUUUAUAACGUAAAUGCAUAUGAAUAAAGCGCAUUCGUGGCAAACCUACGCAACAUAUAUAUACAUACAUACACACAUACAUAUAUAUACACACAAUCUUAUAGUAAAGUCUCUACAGAGAAUACGCGCACUCAUGGAGAUAAACCCUUGCAUCCGCAAUUGUGUAGUUUGCAGCAAUCGACAAAGUUACAUAUAUUGUAUAAACAUAAAAUAGGAUAUAGCGUAAAGAAUAUGAUUAGAAAUUGUAUCUAAAUUUUUCUGGCUAACGUUAUUACGUAUGCAAUUGAAACUGAGUUAAUUUCGCGCUAAUUGUAUAUAUACGCGACAAACAAAUCUCGUAUGCGUUUACACAACAAAAAGUAUCGCGCUGUACUACUAAAACAUCAGUUUAAAUUUUAUUUUUCACAUAUAAUGUCGCCUGCUUUGCUGUUCACAAUGGUAAAAUGUGGUUUGUUUUAAAAAAAAGUUAAAUAUUAAAAUAAAAAGAGAGUUGAGUUUUGUACAUGCAAGACCAUUACUGAAUUUUUUUCAAUAAGCAGAGUUCUGAACAGAAGCAUACAACUAGUAGGUCCACUCCGUGUUUCCUUUUACGUAGAUUCCUUCUGCGUACCCGACAUUGUUCUGAGCAGACCAAUGAGAGAAAAGUUGUAUGUGUGGUAGUGUGGCUUUAAUAAGCACACACGCACACAUACAUCACUGGAUCCUGUCUGAGUGCAUGGCGGAAUACCAUGUGAUAGGGACUGCAAAGAUUAAAGAGACCGAUAAAAAGUCGGACCUACUAGUUAUACUAUGGUAAGAGUGCUAAUACGUGGUUGGAAAAUGAUUAGUUAGUUUAAGAAAAUGACUCCUUGCACUCUUGCGAAAUUUUAUAUAUAAAAUCUGCGUAAUGUUCAGAACAAAUUACUUUGCUAUUGAAUAACUUGGAAAAUUCAGGAGCGAUUGGCUCUUUUUAGGCAAUUAGUUUGUUCCAAUAUGCAAUGAAAAAUGACGAAGAAAUAGUCAUAACAUUACAUUCUGUUUGACAUCGAUGGUUGACUAAAUGACUAAAUAAUAAAUAUAAAUAAAUAUGUAAUUAAUGAGAGGAUAUAUAUUAUCGAUUUAACACAGUAGUGAUGUUAAAAUAACGUUGAUACAACCUGGAAUUGUUUUUAAGCGAAAACAAUAUUAUAAAUUUUCUUAAAACACUAACUCUUUACGUUCCUGAUACUUUUCAGUGUGUCAACAAUAAGCAGUGAUAUUUGUGUUUAUUAUACGAAGUAAAGUGGAGGAUUUUCCGUUUGUUAUGUAUAAUAUAUAAAAAUACCAGAAUUUAAACGAUGUUUAUACAUGUUUUCUAGCAAAUAAUAGACUGUAAAUUUAUUAGUAGAGUACUAUGGGAUAUAUUUAUUCGCCAA